GGGGCUGUAGCUCAGUUGGGAGAGCACCUGCCUUGCACGCAGGGGGUCAGGAGUUCGAGUCUCCUCAGCUCCACCA
RNAcentral lists this transfer RNA (76 nucleotides) under Chloroflexota bacterium. RNAcentral's name for it is "tRNA-Ala". It matches the Rfam family "tRNA". Rfam says of the family: Transfer RNA (tRNA) molecules are approximately 80 nucleotides in length. Their secondary structure includes four short double-helical elements and three loops (D, anti-codon, and T loops). The record is from RNAcentral. Lineage: Bacteria; Bacillati; Chloroflexota.